RNAcentral lists this small RNA (380 nucleotides) under Histoplasma capsulatum var. duboisii H88. RNAcentral's name for it is "Histoplasma capsulatum H88 hypothetical RNA". Lineage: Eukaryota; Fungi; Ascomycota; Eurotiomycetes; Onygenales; Ajellomycetaceae. The record is from RNAcentral.
CUUUCAAGACGCUCGUGUUUCUCUAGUUAUAUUUUCAUUAAUUGAUCCUUUUGAUUUAACCGUAGGCUUGGUAUCUCAAAUCAAAAAUAAAGAUAAAGUGUAGGAGUUAAAAGCCCUGUGACGAUGCUGGGGAUUUGACUAGCAGACAUGAUAUAGUUCAGGUGAACCAGAACCAAUUCGUAAGAAGUAAAAAGGAGUAAAAAAAAAAAAAACAGGUGGACAAGCCAAAGAGUAAGAAUAUAGCAAGCAGGCAAAUUGCAUAGGAAACAUGCUAAAACAGUCACAAAGCACUUUAAAAUUUAUGAAAAAGCCGCCCAAGGGCCAUUAGCAUUCUGCGCAGCAAUACCAUGACACCAAUGAAAAUGAGAGAGAGCCACCUU